CUACGUGCCAGCAGCCGCGGUAAUACGUAGGUCCCGAGCGUUGUCCGGAUUUAUUGGGCGUAAAGCGAGCGCAGGCGGUUAGAUAAGUCUGAAGUUAAAGGCUGUGGCUUAACCAUAGUACGCUUUGGAAACUGUUUAACUUGAGUGCAAGAGGGGAGAGUGGAAUUCCAUGUGUAGCGGUGAAAUGCGUAGAUAUAUGGAGGAACACCGGUGGCGAAAGCGGCUCUCUGGCUUGUAACUGACGCUGAGGCUCGAAAGCGUGGGGAGCAAACAGGAUUAGAUACCCUGGUAGUCCACGCCGUAAACGAUGAGUGCUAGGUGUUAGACCCUUUCCGGGGUUUAGUGCCGCAGCUAACGCAUUAAGCACUCCGCCUGGGGAGUACGACCGCAAGGUUGAAACUCAAAGGAAUUGACGGGGGCCCGCACAAGCGGUGGAGCAUGUGGUUUAAUUCGAUGCAACGCGAAGAACCUUACCUACUCUUGAC
RNAcentral lists this ribosomal RNA (485 nucleotides) under uncultured bacterium. RNAcentral describes it as "bacterial SSU rRNA". It matches the Rfam family "Bacterial small subunit ribosomal RNA", at positions 501 to 985 of the family's 1533-position model. The record is from RNAcentral.